UUAAGCGACUAAGCGUACACGGUGGAUGCCCUGGCAGUCAGAGGCGAUGAAGGACGUGCUAAUCUGCGAAAAGCGUCGGUAAGGUGAUAUGAACCGUUAUAACCGGCGAUGUCCGAAUGGGGAAACCCAGUGCAAUUCGUUGCACUAUCGUUAACUGAAUACAUAGGUUAACGAGGCGAACCGGGGGAACUGAAACAUCUAAGUACCCCGAGGAAAAGAAAUCAACCGAGAUUCCCCCAGUAGCGGCGAGCGAACGGGGAGCAGCCCAGAGUCUGAAUCAGCUUGUGUGUUAGUGGAACGGUCUGGAAAGUCCGACGGUACAGGGUGAUAGUCCCGUACACCAAAAUGCACAGGUUGUGAACUCGAAGAGUAGGGCGGGACACGUGGUAUCCUGUCUGAAUAUGGGGGGACCAUCCUCCAAGGCUAAAUACUCCUGACUGACCGAUAGUGAACCAGUACCGUGAGGGAAAGGCGAAAAGAACCCCGGCGAGGGGAGUGAAAAAGAACCUGAAACCGUGUACGUACAAGCAGUGGGAGCACCUUCGGGUGUGACUGCGUACCUUUUGUAUAAUGGGUCAGCGACUUAUAUUCUGUAGCAAGGUUAACCGUAUAGGGGAGCCGCAGGGAAACCGAGUCUUAACUGGGCGUUAAGUUGCAGGGUAUAGACCCGAAACCCGGUGAUCUAGCCAUGGGCAGGUUGAAGGUUGGGUAACACUAACUGGAGGACCGAACCGACUAAUGUUGAAAAAUUAGCGGAUGACUUGUGGCUGGGGGUGAAAGGCCAAUCAAACCGGGAGAUAGCUGGUUCUCCCCGAAAGCUAUUUAGGUAGCGCCUCGUGAACUCAUCUUCGGGGGUAGAGCACUGUUUCGGCUAGGGGGUCAUCCCGACUUACCAACCCGAUGCAAACUACGAAUACCGAAGAAUGUUAUCACGGGAGACACACGGCGGGUGCUAACGUCCGUCGUGAAGAGGGAAACAACCCAGACCGCCAGCUAAGGUCCCAAAGUCAUGGUUAAGUGGGAAACGAUGUGGGAAGGCACAGACAGCCAGGAUGUUGGCUUAGAAGCAGCCAUCAUUUAAAGAAAGCGUAAUAGCUCACUGGUCGAGUCGGCCUGCGCGGAAGAUGUAACGGGGCUAAACCAUGCACCGAAGCUGCGGCAGCGACACUAUGUGUUGUUGGGUAGGGGAGCGUUCUGUAAGCCUGCGAAGGUGUGCUGUGAGGCAUGCUGGAGGUAUCAGAAGUGCGAAUGCUGACAUAAGUAACGAUAAAGCGGGUGAAAAGCCCGCUCGCCGGAAGACCAAGGGUUCCUGUCCAACGUUAAUCGGGGCAGGGUGAGUCGACCCCUAAGGCGAGGCCGAAAGGCGUAGUCGAUGGGAAACAGGUUAAUAUUCCUGUACUUGGUGUUACUGCGAAGGGGGGACGGAGAAGGCUAUGUUAGCCGGGCGACGGUUGUCCCGGUUUAAGCAUGUAGGCUGGUUAUCCAGGCAAAUCCGGAUAAUCAAGGCUGAGGUGUGAUGACGAGGCACUACGGUGCUGAAGUAACAAAUGCCCUGCUUCCAGGAAAAGCCUCUAAGCAUCAGGUAACAUCAAAUCGUACCCCAAACCGACACAGGUGGUCAGGUAGAGAAUACCAAGGCGCUUGAGAGAACUCGGGUGAAGGAACUAGGCAAAAUGGUGCCGUAACUUCGGGAGAAGGCACGCUGGUGUGUAGGUGAAGUCCCUGCGGAUGGAGCUGAGACCAGUCGAAGAUACCAGCUGGCUGCAACUGUUUAUUAAAAACACAGCACUGUGCAAACACGAAAGUGGACGUAUACGGUGUGACGCCUGCCCGGUGCCGGAAGGUUAAUUGAUGGGGUUAUCCGUAAGGAGAAGCUCUUGAUCGAAGCCCCGGUAAACGGCGGCCGUAACUAUAACGGUCCUAAGGUAGCGAAAUUCCUUGUCGGGUAAGUUCCGACCUGCACGAAUGGCGUAAUGAUGGCCAGGCUGUCUCCACCCGAGACUCAGUGAAAUUGAACUCGCUGUGAAGAUGCAGUGUACCCGCGGCAAGACGGAAAGACCCCGUGAACCUUUACUAUAGCUUGACACUGAACAUUGAGCCUUGAUGUGUAGGAUAGGUGGGAGGCUUUGAAGCGUGGACGCCAGUCUGCGUGGAGCCAACCUUGAAAUACCACCCUUUAAUGUUUGAUGUUCUAACGUUGGCCCCUGACCGGGGUUGCGGACAGUGUCUGGUGGGUAGUUUGACUGGGGCGGUCUCCUCCCAAAGCGUAACGGAGGAGCACGAAGGUUAGCUAAUCCUGGUCGGACAUCAGGAGGUUAGUGCAAUGGCAUAAGCUAGCUUGACUGCGAGCGUGACGGCGCGAGCAGGUGCGAAAGCAGGUCAUAGUGAUCCGGUGGUUCUGAAUGGAAGGGCCAUCGCUCAACGGAUAAAAGGUACUCCGGGGAUAACAGGCUGAUACCGCCCAAGAGUUCAUAUCGACGGCGGUGUUUGGCACCUCGAUGUCGGCUCAUCACAUCCUGGGGCUGAAGUAGGUCCCAAGGGUAUGGCUGUUCGCCAUUUAAAGUGGUACGCGAGCUGGGUUUAGAACGUCGUGAGACAGUUCGGUCCCUAUCUGCCGUGGGCGCUGGAGAAUUGAGGGGGGCUGCUCCUAGUACGAGAGGACCGGAGUGGACGCAUCACUGGUGUUCGGGUUGUCAUGCCAAUGGCACUGCCCGGUAGCUAAAUGCGGAAGAGAUAAGUGCUGAAAGCAUCUAAGCACGAAACUUGCCCCGAGAUGAGUUCUCCCUGAGACUAUAAGUCUCCUGAAGGAACGUUGAAGACGACGACGUUGAUAGGCCGGGUGUGUAAGCGCAGCGAUGCGUUGAGCUAACCGGUACUAAUGAACCGUGAGGCUUAACCUU
This 2900-nucleotide ribosomal RNA is filed under the name Klebsiella pneumoniae. Its description in RNAcentral is "bacterial LSU rRNA". It matches the Rfam family "Bacterial large subunit ribosomal RNA". The record is from RNAcentral. Lineage: Bacteria; Pseudomonadati; Pseudomonadota; Gammaproteobacteria; Enterobacterales; Enterobacteriaceae.